Molecule: ribosomal RNA, 425 nt
Filed under: uncultured bacterium
Lineage: Bacteria
Description: bacterial SSU rRNA
Rfam family: Bacterial small subunit ribosomal RNA
Source: RNAcentral
GUGGGGAAUCUUGGACAAUGGGCGCAAGCCUGAUCCAGCCAUGCCGCGUGGAUGAUGAAGGCCUUAGGGUUGUAAAAUCCUUUCGUGGGGGACGAUAAUGACGGUACCCCAAGAAGAAGCUCCGGCUAACUUCGUGCCAGCAGCCGCGGUAAUACGAAGGGGGCUAGCGUUGUUCGGAUUUACUGGGCGUAAAGCGCGUGUAGGCGGGUCGUUAAGUUGGGGGUGAAAUCCCGAGGCUCAACCUCGGAACUGCCUUCAAAACUGGCGACCUGGACUCAAGUAGAGGCAAGUGGAAUUGCGAGUGUAGAGGUGAAAUUCGUAGAUAUUCGCAGGAACACCAGUGGCGAAGGCGACUUGCUGGACUUGUAGUGACGCUGAGACGCGAAAGCGUGGGGAGCAAACAGGAUUAGAAACCCGAGUAGUCC